RNAcentral lists this ribosomal RNA (253 nucleotides) under uncultured bacterium. RNAcentral describes it as "partial 16S ribosomal RNA". It matches the Rfam family "Bacterial small subunit ribosomal RNA", at positions 524 to 776 of the family's 1533-position model. The record is from RNAcentral.
UACGGAGGGUGCAAGCGUUAUCCGGAUUUAUUGGGCGUAAAGAGCGUGUAGGCGGUUCGGUAAGUCUGUCGUGAAAUCCUGAGGCUCAACCUCGGACGUGCGAUGGAUACUGCCGGGCUAGAGGAUGGUAGAGGCGAGUGGAAUUCCCGGUGUAGCGGUGAAAUGCGCAGAUAUCGGGAGGAACACCAGUAGCGAAGGCGGCUCGCUGGGCCAUUCCUGACGCUGAGACGCGAAAGCUAGGGGAGCGAACAGG